RNAcentral lists this RNase P RNA (407 nucleotides) under Streptomyces sp. WMMC897. RNAcentral describes it as "RNase P RNA component class A". It matches the Rfam family "Bacterial RNase P class A". Rfam says of the family: Ribonuclease P (RNase P) is a ubiquitous endoribonuclease, found in archaea, bacteria and eukarya as well as chloroplasts and mitochondria. Its best characterised activity is the generation of mature 5'-ends of tRNAs by cleaving the 5'-leader elements of precursor-tRNAs. Cellular RNase Ps are ribonucleoproteins. Lineage: Bacteria; Bacillati; Actinomycetota; Actinomycetes; Kitasatosporales; Streptomycetaceae. The record is from RNAcentral. RNAcentral also lists the same sequence under 1 other name.
CGAGCCGUGCGGGCGGUCGCGGUGUGGCCUCGCAGCCACGUCGAGGAACGUCCGGACUCCGCAGAGCAGGGUGGUAGGUAACACCUACCUGGGGCGACCCACGGGAAAGUGCCACAGAAAGCAGACCGCCGGAGCCUUCAGACGGCAUCCGGUAAGGGUGAAACGGUGGUGUAAGAGACCACCAGCGCCCAGGGUGACCUGGGCGGCUCGGUAAACCCCACCCGGAGCAAGGUCAAGAGGGGCCGCCGCGAGGCGGCCCUGCGCGGACGCACGAGGGCUGCUCGCCCGAGUCCGCGGGUAGACCGCACCGAGGUCGAUGGUGACAUCGGCCCCAGAUGGAUGACCGCCUCCCGAGGGCCCGCGAGGACCCCCGGAGACAGAAUCCGGCGUACAGCACGACUCGUCUG